CUCUUUUCUUCUUCUUUUUCAUUUCUUCCUUCUUCUUAUCUUCUGUUCUUCUUCUUUCCUUCUCAGUCGAGCUCAGUUCAUAGGAAUUGAGUUGUUUUCGUGUGAGUUGUUCUUAGGAACUUGUUAGUAACAUGAAUCGAAGAUGAGGGAGAUGAUUCUGAAGUUGUUUGGACAUGGGAGAAUAAGGAGUGAUGUUGUUGAAUCAAAUUUGAGUUCUGUUUUUGAGAUGAAUGAGAGAUUAAGAUGGGUUUUGAGAUCUAAAGAAGAUGAUGAAGAUUAUGGAAGUGUUGCUGAGAGGGAUUUUGAUUGAAUUGGUGAUUUCAACUUCACAGGAAAGUUUCAGUAUUCAGAAGAAAAGGCGCAGUGAAGAUAUUCGUUUCUGUAACGUAAAGUUUUCAGCGAAGUGAAGAUAUUUAUAUAUGUUUUAUAUAUGUAUUCUUUCUCUGUAAACAACACAUGGUUAUAUUCGUAUCACAUGAAAGAUCUUCAUCUAUCCUAUAUCAGAGUGUAUGGGAUUGCUUUUGGGUUUA
Molecule: long non-coding RNA, 530 nt
Organism: Papaver somniferum (opium poppy)
Lineage: Eukaryota; Viridiplantae; Streptophyta; Magnoliopsida; Ranunculales; Papaveraceae
Exons: 2
Source: RefSeq, a predicted model, not a curated record